RNAcentral lists this ribosomal RNA (785 nucleotides) under uncultured bacterium. Its description in RNAcentral is "bacterial SSU rRNA". It matches the Rfam family "Bacterial small subunit ribosomal RNA", at positions 28 to 796 of the family's 1533-position model. The record is from RNAcentral.
GACGAACGCUGGCGGCGUGCCUAAUACAUGCAAGUUGAGCGCUGAAGGUUGGUACUUGUACCGACUGGAUGAGCAGCGAACGGGUGAGUAACGCGUGGGGAAUCUGCCUUUGAGCGGGGGACAACAUUUGGAAACGAAUGCUAAUACCGCAUAAAAACUUUAAACACAAGUUUUAAGUUUGAAAGAUGCAAUUGCAUCACUCAAAGAUGAUCCCGCGUUGUAUUAGCUAGUUGGUGAGGUAAAGGCUCACCAAGGCGAUGAUACAUAGCCGACCUGAGAGGGUGAUCGGCCACAUUGGGACUGAGACACGGCCCAAACUCCUACGGGAGGCAGCAGUAGGGAAUCUUCGGCAAUGGACGAAAGUCUGACCGAGCAACGCCGCGUGAGUGAAGAAGGUUUUCGGAUCGUAAAACUCUGUUGGUAGAGAAGAACGUUGGUGAGAGUGGAAAGCUCAUCAAGUGACGGUAACUACCCAGAAAGGGACGGCUAACUACGUGCCAGCAGCCGCGGUAAUACGUAGGUCCCGAGCGUUGUCCGGAUUUAUUGGGCGUAAAGCGAGCGCAGGUGGUUUAUUAAGUCUGGUGUAAAAGGCAGUGGCUCAACCAUUGUAUGCAUUGGAAACUGGUAGACUUGAGUGCAGGAGAGGAGAGUGGAAUUCCAUGUGUAGCGGUGAAAUGCGUAGAUAUAUGGAGGAACACCGGUGGCGAAAGCGGCUCUCUGGCCUGUAACUGACACUGAGGCUCGAAAGCGUGGGGAGCAAACAGGAUUAGAUACCCUGGUAGUCC